Long non-coding RNA from Gavialis gangeticus (Gharial), 113 nucleotides. RefSeq lists it as uncharacterized. The transcript is spliced from 3 exons. NCBI's taxonomy places the organism in Eukaryota, Metazoa, Chordata, Crocodylia, Gavialidae. The record is from RefSeq and is a predicted model, not a curated record.
UUUCUUGAUUACAGUUUAUAUAUUAAAGGGAUGUAGGUUGUACCCAUGUUGGUCUAAGGAGAUAGGCAGACAAGGUUCUUUGGGUAAAUCCGAUAUCUUUUAUUAGACCACCU